Molecule: ribosomal RNA, 1887 nt
Filed under: human gut metagenome
Description: bacterial LSU rRNA
Rfam family: Bacterial large subunit ribosomal RNA
Source: RNAcentral
UCAAGCUAUAAAGAGCACAAGGGGAAUGCCUUGGCACUAGGAGCCGAAGAAGGACGUGACUAACUGCGAUAAGCUACGGGGAGUUGUAAGUAAACAUUGAUCCGUAGAUAUCCGAAUGGAGCAAUCUGGCUGUGGUCAUGCACAGUCAUCAUAUACUGAAUACAUAGGUAUAUGAGGGGAACCGCCUGAACUGAAACAUCUAAGUAGGGCGAGGAAGAGAAAUCAACCGAGAUUCCGCUAGUAGUGGCGAGCGAACGCGGAAGAGGCCAAACCAGAGGUAGAAAUACCUUUGGGGUUCGGACAACAUACGAUAUUGACAAUUUCUAGCUGAAUAGUGUGGGAAAGCUAACCGAAGAAGGUGAGAGUCCUGUAAGCGAAAGGAAGAGUCAGUCAGUUGUAUCCAGAGUACCGCCGGACACGUGAAACCCGGUGGGAAUACGGGGGGACCAUCCUCCAAGCCUAAAUACUACCUAGUGACCGAUAGAGAAGAAGUACUGUGAAGGAAAGGUGAAAAGCACCCCGGGAGGGGAGUGAAAGAGAACCUGAAACCUUGUGUUUACAAGCACCGAAAGUCCAUCAAAGGACGAUCGGGUACCUUUUGUAGAAUGGUCCGGCGAGUGUAUGUAUCUAGCAAGGUUAAGCACUUAAGGUGUGAAGCCAAAGCGAAAGCAAGUCUGAAUAGGGCGACAAGUUAGAUGUAUACGACCCGAAACCGGGUGACCUACCCAUGGCCAGGCUGAAGUGAAGGUAAAACUUCAUGGAGGGCCGAACCGACUCCCGUUGAAAUGGUAGCGGAUGAGUUGUGGGUAGCGGAGAAAUUCCAAUCGAACCCGGAGAUAGCUGGUUCUCUCCGAAAUAGCUUUAGGGCUAGCCUUGAAAUAGAUUACUGGAGGUAAAGCACUGAAUUGGCUAGGGGCCGAAAGGUUACUGAACCUUAUCAAACUCAGAAUGCCAGAUAAUCGUUUUUCAGGAGUCAGACGGUGGGAGAUAAGUUUCAUCGUCAAAAGGGAAACAGCCCAGACCCACAGCUAAGGUCCCAAAUUAUAGUUAAGUGGAGAAGGAUGUGGGAUUGCAUAGACAACCAGGAUGUUGGCUUAGAAGCAGCCACUCAUUAAAAGAGUGCGUAAUAGCUCACUGGUCGAGUGAUCCCGCGCCGAAAAUUUAACGGGGCUAAACUAUAAACCGAAGCUUGGGAUACCGCAAGGUAUGGUAGGAGAGCGUCAUGUAAGGGGUGAAGUCAUAGCGAAAGCGGUGGUGGACUUUACAUGAGUGAGAAUGCCGGAAUGAGUAGCGAGAAUUAAGUGAGAAUCUUAAUGGCCGAAAGUCUAAGGUUUUUGGAGGAAGGUUCGUCCGCUCCAAGUAAGUCGGGAGCUAAGGCGAGGCCGAAAGGCGUAGUCGAUGCACAUACGGUUGAUAUUCCGUAACCACUGACAACUUAAACAAAAUGACACUUUAGAAGGGCUUGACCCGGGUGCUGGUAAUCCCGGGCGUAAGGGACCGAAAUUUAGUAGGGAAGCAAGCUUGGAUGGAGGCGAGAAAAGUUUUGUGUAUGUAAUGUUGGUGCCCGUACCGCAAACCGACACAGGUGGACAGGAAGAGAAUUCUAAGGCCAGCGGGAGAAGGGUAGUUAAGGAACUCGGCAAAUUGACUCCGUAACUUCGGGAAAAGGAGUGCUCUCGAGAGAGAGCCGCAGUGAAUAGGCCCAGGCGACUGUUUAGCAAAAACACAGGUCUCUGCCAAAUCGAAAGAUGAAGUAUAGGGGCUGACACCUGCCCGGUGCUGGAAGGUUAAGAGGAGGAGUGAGAGCUCCGAAUUGAAGCCCCAGUAAACGGCGGCCGUAACUAUAACGGUCCUAAGGUAGCGAAAUUCCUUGUCGGGUAAGUUCCG